Molecule: ribosomal RNA, 1372 nt
Filed under: uncultured bacterium
Lineage: Bacteria
Description: bacterial SSU rRNA
Rfam family: Bacterial small subunit ribosomal RNA
Source: RNAcentral
GAUAAACGCUGGCGGCGUGCCUAAUACAUGCAAGUCGAGCGAACGGACGAGAAGCUUGCUUCUCUGAUGUUAGCGGCGGACGGGUGAGCAACACGUGGAUAACCUACCUAUAAGACUGGGAUAACUUCGGGAAACCGGAGCUAAUACCGGAUAAUAUUUUGAACCGCAUGGUUCAAAAGUGAAAGACGGUCUUGCUGUCACUUAUAGAUGGAUCCGCGCUGCAUUAGCUAGUUGGUAAGGUAACGGCUUACCAAGGCAACGAUGCAUAGCCGACCUGAGAGGGUGAUCGGCCACACUGGAACUGAGACACGGUCCAGACUCCUACGGGAGGCAGCAGUAGGGAAUCUUCCGCAAUGGGCGAAAGCCUGACGGAGCAACGCCGCGUGAGUGAUGAAGGUCUUCGGAUCGUAAAACUCUGUUAUUAGGGAAGAACAUAUGUGUAAGUAACUGUGCACAUCUUGAUGGUACCUAAUCAGAAAGCCACGGCUAACUACGUGCCAGCAGCCGCGGUAAUACGUAGGUGGCAAGCGUUAUCCGGAAUUAUUGGGCGUAAAGCGCGCGUAGGCGGUUUUUUAAGUCUGAUGUGAAAGCCCACGGCUCAACCGUGGAGGGUCAUUGGAAACUGGAAAACUUGAGUGCAGAAGAGGAAAGUGGAAUUCCAUGUGUAGCGGUGAAAUGCGCAGAGAUAUGGAGGAACACCAGUGGCGAAGGCGACUUUCUGGUCUGUAACUGACGCUGAUGUGCGAAAGCGUGGGGAUCAAACAGGAUUAGAUACCCUGGUAGUCCACGCCGUAAACGAUGAGUGCUAAGUGUUAGGGGGUUUCCGCCCCUUAGUGCUGCAGCUAACGCAUUAAGCACUCCGCCUGGGGAGUACGACCGCAAGGUUGAAACUCAAAGGAAUUGACGGGGACCCGCACAAGCGGUGGAGCAUGUGGUUUAAUUCGAAGCAACGCGAAGAACCUUACCAAAUCUUGACAUCCUUUGACAACUCUAGAGAUAGAGCCUUCCCCUUCGGGGGACAAGGUGACAGGUGGUGCAUGGUUGUCGUCAGCUCGUGUCGUGAGAUGUUGGGUUAAGUCCCGCAACGAGCGCAACCCUUAAGCUUAGUUGCCAUCAUUAAGUUGGGCACUCUAAGUUGACUGCCGGUGACAAACCGGAGGAAGGUGGGGAUGACGUCAAAUCAUCAUGCCCCUUAUGAUUUGGGCUACACACGUGCUACAAUGGACAAUACAAAGGGCAGCGAAACCGCGAGGUCAAGCAAAUCCCAUAAAGUUGUUCUCAGUUCGGAUUGUAGUCUGCAACUCGACUACAUGAAGCUGGAAUCGCUAGUAAUCGUAGAUCAGCAUGCUACGGUGAAUACGUUCCCGGGUCU